GACGAACGCUGGCGGCGUGCCUAAUACAUGCAAGUUGAGCGCUGAAGGUUGGUACUUGUACCGACUGGAUGAGCAGCGAACGGGUGAGUAACGCGUGGGGAAUCUGCCUUUGAGCGGGGGACAACAUUUGGAAACGAAUGCUAAUACCGCAUAAAAACUUUAAACACAAGUUUUAAGUUUGAAAGAUGCAAUUGCAUCACUCAAAGAUGAUCCCGCGUUGUAUUAGCUAGUUGGUGAGGUAAAGGCUCACCAAGGCGAUGAUACAUAGCCGACCUGAGAGGGUGAUCGGCCACAUUGGGACUGAGACACGGCCCAAACUCCUACGGGAGGCAGCAGUAGGGAAUCUUCGGCAAUGGACGAAAGUCUGACCGAGCAACGCCGCGUGAGUGAAGAAGGUUUUCGGAUCGUAAAGCUCUGUUGGUAGAGAAGAACGUUGGUGAGAGUGGAAAGCUCAUCAAGUGACGGUAACUACCCAGAAAGGGACGGCUAACUACGUG
RNAcentral lists this ribosomal RNA (497 nucleotides) under uncultured bacterium. RNAcentral describes it as "partial 16S ribosomal RNA". It matches the Rfam family "Bacterial small subunit ribosomal RNA", at positions 28 to 507 of the family's 1533-position model. The record is from RNAcentral.